AAGGGUAACGAACCGUUCACAGGUGUUACCCUUAACUUUAAGUAUAGGUGGGUGUCGA
Molecule: non-coding RNA, 58 nt
Filed under: Vibrio phage 2.096.O._10N.286.48.B5
Lineage: Duplodnaviria; Heunggongvirae; Uroviricota; Caudoviricetes
Source: RNAcentral